CCUCUCUGGGGCCUCCCUUGUCCCCUGCCCGUGACUAACACAGACCCUGUCCCUGUCCUGUCGUCUAACGGUGCUCUGGCUCAGGGAGGGAGAGACGGGCGGGAGGGCGACCUGCCCAAAGGGGCGUGAGCGGAGCUGAAGGGAGUCCCAGCUCUGGGCUCUGUGUCCUUGGGCAUGCCCCACCCCCACCCCGUGAAGAGUCUGUCGGCCUCUGCCUCAUGGGCGGCCAUGUGGACAGAAGCUGGACACAGGAAGUGCUCACUAGCCACAGCGGCACCCCACAGCUCAGCCAUGAGGGGCCUGGCCCGGCGCCCCGCCUCCUCGCCUUCCUCCGAGUACAGCACAGGUCCCCGGGCGGAUGCUGACCAUGUUUCCCAAACCAAGAGCUGGUGUGGUAACAGGAUAGGAUAUUUGAAACUGAGGAAGCCCCGAAAGGCAGAGACUAGCAGCCCCAUAGUAACCAGAGGCCGAGUUGACCUGAACCGCAGGCUCCAGAACCCGGGUAAGAAAUGUCUCCGUUGCCCACCAAGAUUGAGGGAAGCCCCUCGAAUGGCAGAGCAGGUGGCGUCUGAGGCUGGUCUUGCAGAGCGAAAGGGGGGAUGAGCAGAGCGCACUGGCCUGGCCCUGCCCCUGGCCCUGGCCGGAGGGGCGAUGACACACUCGGUGAGCAGGGAGAGGACUCAGGGACAGCCAGGGCUUGUUCAGGGCCAGUGUCUGCCAGGUCUGGGCGGGGUCCUGCUCAUCCUGCCUGCAGAGACCUCAUCUCUGCUAGGAAGGCCUGUGAUUGGACGGCUGUGGGUUCCAGGUGCUCAGGAGGCUCGGAGGGUCACAUGGGAGACAGCACUGGGGACAGGCGCUGUAGCGAGUAGGCUGGGUAGGCCUCCCUCAGAGUGGCAUCUGGGUGGCUCUGAGAUUGGGGGACCGCCUUCCCAUCGGAGGCAUGGAACUGCUGAGGCCCUGUGGCUACAAAGUGGGGCGGGAAGAGGAAGGGCAGUGGGUAGGAAGGCGUCUCGUGAUUGGACUCUGUGCGCAGGCCCAGUUAUGCGCUCUCGACACAGGCGCUGGGCUGUCGGCUGUUGGGGGAGCUCACUCGGCUGUGCAGGGAGGCCCAGGAGGAGGCAGGGUGUCCGGGGCACAGUGGUCACUUCCUGCUGCUGGAGGAAGGGCGGGCUGCCCGUGCCCCCUCAGAAGGGGACUCCAGCCCUGAGACAGAUCCGUUCUCUAGCGCGGUCCGUCCCUCCAGCAGGGCCGUCCCUGUGCUCACAGGGUGUGACAGUGCCACCAUCUGAGACUGUUGGGUGUACAUGCCUCGUAUGGAGAGAACGGGGGCACAGAGGUGAGGCAGUUGGCCCAGGUGACCCGGAAGGUUUCCGUGGCAACAGGGACUUGAACCUACAGGAUGGGUGUGAUGGCCUGGGGGUCUCCAGGCUGUACCCACAAUUACUUACAAACUCAUUUGGGACCACGUUUGGCCUCUCUCUUGAGUUCAUCUGGGAGGGGAGGGAGCAUUUAAUUUACUCGUUUUAAUUCCGUUCUGUGCCCGGACCACUGAAGUUCUGCAUGGCAGGCAGCGGGAUUUCCCAGCUGUGCUGAGUUAUAAUUGACGUCCCCCUUGUGCAGGCGCAAGGCGUACAGCGUGGCAUCUGCCAUGCGCGUACGGAGUGCAGUGAUUACAGGGAGGUCAGUUAGCCUCGCCUAGUUCCCGGUGUGCGUGGAGAGAAUCUCAGCAUCUGCUUCCUUAGCUACUUUCAAGCACACAACGCAGUGUUGCCGCCCAGUCACCAUCCCCAGAGCGGAUCCAUCGGUAACCCGAAGUGCGCGCCCUGGACCACCUCCACCCGUCCCCCCAGCCCCUGACAACCACCAACAUAUUCUUUGUUUUGAUAAGUCUGUUGUUUUUCUUAGAUUCCAUAUACAAGUGAGAUUAGACCG
Myotis daubentonii (Daubenton's bat) is the source of this 1932-nucleotide long non-coding RNA. RefSeq lists it as uncharacterized. Lineage: Eukaryota; Metazoa; Chordata; Mammalia; Chiroptera; Vespertilionidae. The record is from RefSeq and is a predicted model, not a curated record.